AGGACGAACGCUGGCGGCGUGCUUAAUACAUGCAAGUCGAACGAGGUUCACUUCGGUGAAUCUAGUGGCGAACGGGUGAGUAACACGUGAGCAACCUGCCCCGAAGACCGGGAUAACAGUGGGAAACCGCUGCUAAUACCGGAUACCCCCAUUGGAUCCCAUGGUCCGAUGAGGAAAUGGAUUCCGCUUCGGGAGGGGCUCGCGGCCUAUCAGCUUGUUGGUGGGGUAACGGCCUACCAAGGCUUCGACGGGUAGCUGGUCUGAGAGGACGAUCAGCCACACUGGGACUGAGACACGGCCCAGACUCCUACGGGAGGCAGCAGUAGGGAAUCUUGCGCAAUGGGCGAAAGCCUGACGCAGCAACGCCGCGUGAGGGAUGGAGGCCUUCGGGUUGUAAACCUCUUUCAGCAGGGACGAUUGUGACGGUACCUGCAGAAGAGCCCCGGCAACUACGUGCCAGCAGCCGC
Molecule: ribosomal RNA, 467 nt
Filed under: uncultured bacterium
Lineage: Bacteria
Description: SSU rRNA
Rfam family: Bacterial small subunit ribosomal RNA
Source: RNAcentral